CAGAUUUUUCUUUCAAACCUUUUCUUUCACCUAACCCUAAAGCAUGCGUAGAAUCCGCUGAAGGUUCUCAGCAUCACCACCAUCGCCGCCUUCGAAAGGGCGGAUUUUAACCAGAAUUUCAGUGGGGGAGAGAGGCGCGUUUGAAACUGAAGGUUCUCAGCAUCACCUCCAUUUUUUCUACGUUUUUUCUUUGGAAACUAUAGGUUCUAUCUUUCUGUUGGGUAUGUCAAAUCUUUUAGCACCUGCAAAUCUUUAAGAAGAGAGUUUGGGAUGUGGCUUGGAGCGUUUCAGUUGCAUUUCAAAUGUUUUAGCACCUGCAAAUCUUUUAGCACUUGGAGCGUUUCAGUUGCAUUUCAAAUCUUUUAGGAGCGUUUCAGUUGCAUUCCUAGGGAAAUUCCAGUAAUUGCAUUUCAAAUCUCAGUUAUAAAGAGUUAACCCAGUUGCUGUAUAUCCUUUUUGAUUCAAUACAUCUGAAGCUUAUAAUUUUAUUUUAAUGUGCAUGACAUAUUUUUUCAGAUGGAAACUACAAUGUCUGAACCAGAUACUUGGAGCGUUUCAGUUGCAUUUAAAAUGUUUUAGCACCUGCAAAUCUUUUAGCACUUGGAGCGUUUCAAUUGCAUUUCAAAUCUUUUAGGAGCGUUUCAGUUGCAUUCCUAGGGAAAUUCCAGUAAUUGCAUUUCAAAUCUCAGUUAUAAAGAGUUAACCCAGUUGCUGUAUAUCCUUUUUGAUUCAAUACAUCUGAAGCUUAUAAUUUUAUUUUAAUGUGCAUGACAUAUUUUUUCAGAUGGAAACUACAAUGUCUGAACCAGAUGUGGAGGUGAUGAUGGUAAACAACCCUUUGACUAUGCCGGCAGUAGCUCAACAACAAGGUCCAGACGCUCCUCAUCGACGCACUCCUCCUAAAAAGCAGAAACGAACAACUCGUCCAGUACCUUCUAAAUCCGGAAAUACUGGCAGAGAGACUUCUGAGAUCUGGAAUCAUUUCUCCAAGUUUACUGCUAAAGGAGGUAAAUGUAGA
This 1018-nucleotide long non-coding RNA is filed under the name Nicotiana benthamiana. RNAcentral's name for it is "long non-coding RNA (NBEN_LNC029701)". Lineage: Eukaryota; Viridiplantae; Streptophyta; Magnoliopsida; Solanales; Solanaceae. The record is from RNAcentral.